GAUGAACGCUAGCGAUAGGCUUAACACAUGCAAGUCGAGGGGCAGCAUGGUCUUAGCUUGCUAAGGCUGAUGGCGACCGGCGCACGGGUGCGUAACGCGUAUGCAACUUGCCUCACAGAGGGGGAUAACCCGUCGAAAGACGGACUAAUACCGCGUACACUUGGGAUAGGGCAUCCUGACCCAAGGAAAUGAACUUCGCUGUGAGAUAGGCAUGCGUCCCAUUAGCUAGUUGGUGAGGUAACGGCUCACCAAGGCGACGAUGGGUAGGGGAACUGAGAGGUUGAACCCCCACACUGGUACUGAGACACGGACCAGACUCCUACGGGAGGCAGCAGUGAGGAAUAUUGGUCAAUGGGCGAGAGCCUGAACCAGCCAAGUCGCGUGAAGGAUGACUGUCUUAUGGAUUGUAAACUUCUUUUAUACGGGAAUAACAAGAGCCACGUGUGGCUCCCUGCAUGUACCGUAUGAAUAAGCAUCGGCUAACUCCGUGCCAGCAGCCGCGGUAAUACGGAGGAUGCGAGCGUUAUCCGGAUUUAUUGGGUUUAAAGGGUGCGUAGGCGGCCUGUUAAGUCAGCGGUGAAAUCUAGGAGCUUAACUCCUAAAUUGCCAUUGAUACUGGCGGGCUUGAGUGUAGAUGAGGUAGGCGGAAUGCGUGGUGUAGCGGUGGAAUGCAUAGAUAUCACGCAGAACUCCGAUUGCGAAGGCAGCUUACUAAGGUACAACUGACGCUGAAGCACGAAAGCGUGGGUAUCAAACAGG
RNAcentral lists this ribosomal RNA (759 nucleotides) under uncultured Porphyromonas sp. Its description in RNAcentral is "bacterial SSU rRNA". It matches the Rfam family "Bacterial small subunit ribosomal RNA", at positions 28 to 776 of the family's 1533-position model. Lineage: Bacteria; Pseudomonadati; Bacteroidota; Bacteroidia; Bacteroidales; Porphyromonadaceae. The record is from RNAcentral.